AAAAAAACUAAACCCACUUGUCAUAAAACGAGUGUUUUCGUUUCCUUGUGCAAAUAUUUAUUAAUUUUAUUUACAAAUUGCUAAAGACAUGCAACGAGCUAGUACAGGAAGCAUAACGCAGCUCGUGCGCGUCGAGAGACUCCGAGCUUUGCUGACUACCAUCACCGUGCCGUGGGAGAUGCACUGCAUACCCUGGGACGCACAUUACGUCGCAAACUCCCCGCAAAAAUUGCCUGAUCCGGCGUUUGUCGAGCAAGAUAACUUAACAACGAAGACCGGCGCCUGGCGGGACACGUUAUCCUCAAUCAUAACUCUGCAGGCGGUGCCCGCCUCGCGUUCUCUGUUCAGUCUUUAAUGCAGAUAGUAUGUAGCAGAGUUGUCUAAAUUAAUCAAUAUGUAAGCUGUAAGUCGUUUGGAAGAAAUUGCCUCCGGAAACACCGGAGUCUUCAGAG
This is a long non-coding RNA of Cydia fagiglandana, 452 nucleotides long. RefSeq lists it as uncharacterized. The transcript has 4 exons. The record is from RefSeq and is a predicted model, not a curated record. NCBI's taxonomy places the organism in Eukaryota, Metazoa, Arthropoda, Insecta, Lepidoptera, Tortricidae.